Molecule: ribosomal RNA, 308 nt
Filed under: uncultured bacterium
Lineage: Bacteria
Description: bacterial SSU rRNA
Rfam family: Bacterial small subunit ribosomal RNA
Source: RNAcentral
GACGAACGCUGGCGGCGUGCCUAACACAUGCAAGUCGAACGGAGCUGAGGAGCUUGCUCCUUAGCUUAGUGGCGGACGGGUGAGUAACGCGUGAGUAACCUGCCUCUGAGAGGGGAAUAACGUUCUGAAAAGAACGCUAAUACCGCAUAACGUAUUGGAGCCGCAUGACUUUGAUACCAAAGAUUUUAUCGCUCGGAGGUGGACUCGCGUCCGAUUAGCUCGUUGGUGAGGUAACGGCUCACCAAGGCGACGAUCGGUAGCCGGACUGAGAGGUUGAUCGGCCACAUUGGGACUGAGACACGGCCCAG